RNAcentral lists this ribosomal RNA (253 nucleotides) under uncultured bacterium. RNAcentral's name for it is "partial 16S ribosomal RNA". It matches the Rfam family "Bacterial small subunit ribosomal RNA", at positions 524 to 776 of the family's 1533-position model. The record is from RNAcentral.
UACGUAGGGUGCAAGCGUUGUCCGGAAUUAUUGGGCGUAAAGAGCUCGUAGGCGGUUUGUCGCGUCUGCUGUGAAAACUCGGGGCUUAACUCCGGGCCUGCAGUGGGUACGGGCAGACUAGAGUGCGGUAGGGGAGACUGGAAUUCCUGGUGUAGCGGUGAAAUGCGCAGAUAUCAGGAGGAACACCGGUGGCGAAGGCGGGUCUCUGGGCCGUAACUGACGCUUAGGAGCGAAAGCGUGGGGAGCGAACAGG